GUCCUGGCUGUAAACGCUGCGAGUUAGGUGUUGCAUAAACUACGGGUUUGUGCAGUGUCGAAAGAAGUUGUUAAACUCGCCGCCUGGGAAGUACGGUCGCAAGACUGAAACUUUAAGGAAUUGACGGGGAGCACCACAAGGGGUGCAGCGUGCGGUUUAAUCUAACUCAACGCAGAGAACCUCACUAGGGGCGACGGCAGGAUGAAGGUCAGUCUGAAGGGCUUACCUGACGAGCCGAGAGGUAGUGCAUGGCCGUCGU
This 259-nucleotide ribosomal RNA is filed under the name uncultured bacterium. RNAcentral's name for it is "partial 16S ribosomal RNA". It matches the Rfam family "Archaeal small subunit ribosomal RNA", at positions 744 to 1004 of the family's 1478-position model. The record is from RNAcentral.